GAUGAACGCUGGCGGCGUGCCUAAUACAUGCAAGUCGAGCGAACGGACGAGGAGCUUGCUUCUCUGACGUUAGCGGCGGACGGGUGAGUAACACGUGGAUAACCUACCUAUAAGACUGGGAUAACUUCGGGAAACCGGAGCUAAUACCGGAUAAUAUCUUGAACCGCAUGGUUCAAUAGUGAAAGACGGUCUUGCUGUCACUUAUAGAUGGAUCCGCGCUGCAUUAGCUAGUUGGUAAGGUAACGGCUUACCAAGGCAACGAUGCGUAGCCGACCUGAGAGAGUGAUCGGCCACACUGGAACUGAGACACGGUCCAGACUCCUACGGGAGGCAGCAGUAGGGAAUCUUCCGCAAUGGGCGAAAGCCUGACGGAGCAACGCCGCGUGAGUGAUGAAGGUCUUCGGAUCGUAAAACUCUGUUAUUAGGGAAGAACAUAUGUGUAAGUAGCUGUGCACGUCUUGACGGUACCUAAUCAGAAAGCCACGGCUAACUACGUG
RNAcentral lists this ribosomal RNA (497 nucleotides) under uncultured bacterium. Its description in RNAcentral is "partial 16S ribosomal RNA". It matches the Rfam family "Bacterial small subunit ribosomal RNA", at positions 28 to 507 of the family's 1533-position model. The record is from RNAcentral.